This 636-nucleotide ribosomal RNA is filed under the name Meloidogyne cf. graminis TSH-2004. RNAcentral describes it as "SSU rRNA". It matches the Rfam family "Eukaryotic small subunit ribosomal RNA", at positions 1003 to 1664 of the family's 1831-position model. Lineage: Eukaryota; Metazoa; Nematoda; Chromadorea; Rhabditida; Meloidogynidae. The record is from RNAcentral.
GGCGAUCAGAUACCGCCCUAGUUCUGACCGUAAACGAUGCCAACUAGCGAUCCGCCGAUGGAGAUUAUAUUGCCUUGGUGGGGAGCUUCCCGGAAACGAAAGUCUUCCGGUUCCGGGGGAAGUAUGGUUGCAAAGCUGAAACUUAAAGGAAUUGACGGAAGGGCACCACCAGGAGUGGAGCCUGCGGCUUAAUUUGACUCAACACGGGGAAACUCACCCGGCCCGGACACUGUGAGGAUUGACAGAUUGAUAGCUUUUUCAUGAUUCAGUGGAUGGUGGUGCAUGGCCGUUCUUAGUUCGUGGAGUGAUUUGUCUGGUUUAUUCCGAUAACGAGCGAGACUCUAACCUACUAAAUAGCUGAUACAUAUUUUUGUGUAUUCGGCUUCUUAGAGGGAUUUGCGGUGUUCAGCCGAAAGAAAUUGAGCAAUAACAGGUCUGUGAUGCCCUUAGAUGUCCGGGGCUGCACGCGCGCUACACUGGCAAAAUCAACGUGCUUGUCCUGCCCCGAAAGGGGUGGGUAAACCAUUGAAAAUUUGCCGUGAUUGGGAUCGGAAAUUGCAAUUAUUUUCCGUGAACGAGGAAUUCCAAGUAAGUGCGAGUCAUCAGCUCGCGUUGAUUACGUCCCUGCCCUUUGUA